This 117-nucleotide ribozyme is filed under the name Aedes aegypti (yellow fever mosquito). RNAcentral describes it as "drz-agam-1 ribozyme". It matches the Rfam family "drz-agam-1 ribozyme". Lineage: Eukaryota; Metazoa; Arthropoda; Insecta; Diptera; Culicidae. The record is from Rfam by way of RNAcentral.
UGCCCAGCAACUCCUAUCCCUACCUCCUCGCGGUACUGGCCGGGGUACGAGUAACCUUAGUGAAGAUCGGGUAACCAACCCCCGGUGGGAACUUUGGUCGUAUGCUGACAGGGAAGG